UUGGCUGUUAGUUGUUCGACAUUAGAAAACGCGUUAAAUAGAUAAAACACCUAUAAGAAUAUGAAACUAGUUUAUAUUGCUUGCCUUCUGAUUCACAUGAUUGAUUAUGUCAUGGGAAAUUCAACUAAAAUCUGCAGUCUUCCUAUAAAUCCGGGGCAUUGCAAAGACCUGGUCCCAAGAUUUGGUUACAGACCUAGUAAAAAAGAAUGUAUCAGUUUUAUGUUCGGUGGCUGUAAGGGCAACGCAAAUAAUUUCGAAUCAAUUAUGGACUGCGAAUCCGAAUGCAAGGGAAAAAAGAUGCAAUAAAUUUGUAUUCUGCGCAAACAUAGCUUCCUUGUUAAAAUAUAAUGAAAUAAACUUGCAAAUAAAGAUGACUUAAAAGAUUUAUAAAAAA
Molecule: long non-coding RNA, 394 nt
Organism: Drosophila subpulchrella
Lineage: Eukaryota; Metazoa; Arthropoda; Insecta; Diptera; Drosophilidae
Exons: 2
Source: RefSeq, a predicted model, not a curated record